GAUGAACGCUGGCGGCGUGCCUAAUACAUGCAAGUAGAACGCUGAAGGAAGGAGCUUGCUCUUUCCGGAUGAGUUGCGCACGGGUGAGUAACGCGUAGGUAACCUGCCUGGUAGCGGGGGAUAACUAUUGGAAACGAUAGCUAAUACCGCAUAACAGUAGAUGUUGCAUGAUAUCUACUUAAAAUUUGCAAUUGCACCACUACCAGAUGGACCUGCGUUGUAUUAGCUGGUUGGUGAGGUAACGGCUCACCAAGGCGACGAUACAUAGCCGACAUGAGAGGGUGAGCGGCCACACUGGGACGGUGACACGGCCCAGACGGCUUCGGGAGGCAGCAGUAGGGAAUCGGCGGCAAGGGGCGGAAGACUGAGCGAGAAACGCCGCGGGAGGGAAGAAGGUUGUCGGAUCGGAAAGCUCGGUUGUAAGGGAAGAACGAGUGUGAGAGUGGAACGUUCACACUGUGACGGUAUCUUACCAGAAAGGGACGGCUAACUACGUG
Molecule: ribosomal RNA, 497 nt
Filed under: uncultured bacterium
Lineage: Bacteria
Description: partial 16S ribosomal RNA
Rfam family: Bacterial small subunit ribosomal RNA
Source: RNAcentral